CAAGGUUUUAAAUAGCGGUCGCGGUCACGGUCGCGUCAAGAAUUUCGCGAUUUCGGCUGUUACGGCUGUUGCGUUGUGAAAUACGGUCGUCGCGGUGUGAAUAAAUCACAAUAUCGCACAAAUCUUAUUAAAAUUAUUUGUACUAUGAUAUUUGUAUAACAACUUAAAUAUGAGAUAAAUGUAAAGUUUUGAACUUAGAAAGAGUUAAAAAGAUAUAACACUUUAUAAUUUAUGUUCAUAUUUGUAUUAAAAAUGUGAUUUUUAUGCAUUUCUAUUGGAAAAAAUAGAAAUCUCUAUCUAUUAGCAUUUUGUCGCGGCCGUAUUGCGUNN
RNAcentral lists this long non-coding RNA (330 nucleotides) under Trifolium pratense (red clover). Its description in RNAcentral is "long non-coding RNA (TPRA_LNC008770)". The record is from RNAcentral. Lineage: Eukaryota; Viridiplantae; Streptophyta; Magnoliopsida; Fabales; Fabaceae.